GCGCCCAUAGCUCAGCUGGAUAGAGCGCCUGUCUACGGAACAGGAGGUCGGGGGUUCGAAUCCCUCUGGGCGCACCA
Molecule: transfer RNA, 77 nt
Rfam family: tRNA
About the family: Transfer RNA (tRNA) molecules are approximately 80 nucleotides in length.